GGCUCUGUAGCUCAGGGUUUAGAGCGCUGCUCUCAUGAGGCAGAGGUCGGGAGUUAAAUUCUCCCCAGAGCCA
Molecule: transfer RNA, 73 nt
Filed under: Nanobdellota archaeon
Lineage: Archaea; Nanobdellati; Nanobdellota
Description: tRNA-Met
Rfam family: tRNA
About the family: Transfer RNA (tRNA) molecules are approximately 80 nucleotides in length. Their secondary structure includes four short double-helical elements and three loops (D, anti-codon, and T loops). Further hydrogen bonds mediate the characteristic L-shaped molecular structure. tRNAs have two regions of fundamental functional importance: the anti-codon, which is responsible for specific mRNA codon recognition, and the 3' end, to which the tRNAs corresponding amino acid is attached (by aminoacyl-tRNA synthetases). tRNAs cope with the degeneracy of the genetic code in two manners: having more than one tRNA (with a specific anti-codon) for a particular amino acid; and 'wobble' base-pairing, i.e. permitting non-standard base-pairing at the 3rd anti-codon position.
Source: RNAcentral